CGAGGCGAACCGGGGGAACUGAAACAUCUAAGUACCCCGAGGAAAAGAAAUCAACCGAGAUUCCCCCAGUAGCGGCGAGCGAACGGGGAGGAGCCCAGAGUCUGAAUCAGUUUGUGUGUUAGUGGAAGCGUCUGGAAAGUCGCACGAUACAGGGUGAAAGUCCCGUACACGAAAGCACACAGGCUGUGAACUCGAAGAGUAGGGCGGGACACGUGGUAUCCUGUCUGAAUAUGGGGGGA
Molecule: ribosomal RNA, 239 nt
Filed under: Pluralibacter gergoviae
Lineage: Bacteria; Pseudomonadati; Pseudomonadota; Gammaproteobacteria; Enterobacterales; Enterobacteriaceae
Description: partial 23S ribosomal RNA
Rfam family: Bacterial large subunit ribosomal RNA
Source: RNAcentral